GCGCCUAUAGCUCAGCUGGAUAGAGCACUGGUCUUCGGAACCAGGUGUCGGGGGUUCGAAUCCUCCUAGGCGCG
RNAcentral lists this transfer RNA (74 nucleotides) under Candidatus Omnitrophota bacterium. Its description in RNAcentral is "tRNA-Arg". It matches the Rfam family "tRNA". Rfam says of the family: Transfer RNA (tRNA) molecules are approximately 80 nucleotides in length. Their secondary structure includes four short double-helical elements and three loops (D, anti-codon, and T loops). The record is from RNAcentral. Lineage: Bacteria; Pseudomonadati; Candidatus Omnitrophota.